CCAGUGUUGUCUGGAUUGAAUGUGCAGCAUGUCAUAGUUUCAGGGAGGAUCUUACAUACACCCCCUUUCUCAGCCAAAAUCAUAUCUAGGGCCAUUCUGUUCUGAAAUGUCAUUUGGGUGGUGGCUUGUAACUGUUCUGCCAGGCCCUGUAGGGCAUCCCUAGUAUAGUUGACAAAACGCUGUUGGUUAUAGUAAAUAUCCAAUUGACAUUCUUAUUAGCAGUUAUCUGAAUUAAGGACUCAAAUCCUGCUGCCACUUCAUCCCUUGCUUUGAAUUCGCCAGGCACCCCCCUUGGCACACCAAUGGCAUCAAUAUAUACAUGGGGGUCGAAGCUCCCUCGGAUGGGGGCCUCACGUCUAGUUCUAGAAUGCACGUGUGUGUGGUCUAGUGUGUUGUGGCUACCAUCUGGAAUAAUGUGGAUGGGCAUUAUAACUUUGGUCAGGGCACACUCCCCCCACCAUUGCCCAGCUAGUUGGGACCUCAAUUGUCUGUCACCACAUAACCAAUAGAUAUCUCCGAUUGUCUUUACAUGAUUCAUCAGUAGUGAUACAGGCGGGCUAUGGUAGGUUGAGCAAUAUCCAGAUGGGAAUUUGCCCAGAUACACACCAGCAU
Molecule: non-coding RNA, 612 nt
Organism: Pelobates cultripes (western spadefoot toad)
Lineage: Eukaryota; Metazoa; Chordata; Amphibia; Anura; Pelobatidae
Source: the annotation of a GenBank genome assembly